AAAUGUAUCAGUCCAGAGGUGAGAACGCAAUGAACACCAUCCUCAUUAAGUGAAGCUGGCUCCCUAGGAGCACUCUCAAGAAUGGGAGGAUGAGUCAUAUUGUUCUCAACAUAAAAGUCAGCAGAAUAUGCAUGAGAAGCAAUAUCAGAGUUAGAUUCGGAAGGAGAAUCAUAAUCAUAGACAGAGGUAGAAGAAUCAGUAUUCACAAAAUCAAAAUAGGUAGACAUGGGAAAGAAGGGGGAAAAGAAGAAUGCAAUGAAAAUAUGCAACUAAAGCUAUCUAAAUGCAACACACAAUGACGAACACACAAAACGGAACAUCACACUCACAACACAAGACAAAACACAACACAGACUAACACAACAAAAGACCUAAAACCAAACCUUUGGUCCCCGAGAACGGCGUCAAAAUUUUGAUGAGUUAUCGCGGCCCAUACAAAUUGGAUUGCAUAUUAGAAAUGCAGUAUAGACUAGGAAGUGACUCCUAGGUCGUCUCUCAAGGACCAAACAGUGGUUCGAGAAUUAGGUCUAAAACGAAGGGGGGGUUGUGGAAAGGUUUGAGAAUGCAAUGACGAAAUUAAAAUUAAAAAUUAAACAGAACCGAAUUUAAUUUAAAACAUUAAAGUGCAUGAAAAUAUUAAACUAAACAAUGAAACAGACAAAUAUCUAGCAGAGUUAAAAUUAUUAAUAUGCAUCACUAAAUUAAGAACACAAACACUACUCAACAUUUAAUCUAAACUAUUCUAAAACAAAACAAUUAAAAAUAAA
RNAcentral lists this long non-coding RNA (767 nucleotides) under Vigna radiata. RNAcentral describes it as "long non-coding RNA (VRAD_LNC013671)". Lineage: Eukaryota; Viridiplantae; Streptophyta; Magnoliopsida; Fabales; Fabaceae. The record is from RNAcentral.